Toxorhynchites rutilus septentrionalis is the source of this 1666-nucleotide long non-coding RNA. RefSeq lists it as uncharacterized. The transcript is spliced from 4 exons. Lineage: Eukaryota; Metazoa; Arthropoda; Insecta; Diptera; Culicidae. The record is from RefSeq and is a predicted model, not a curated record.
GGAUACAAAGGUAGCUUAUUUAGAUAUUUAUACACAUCAACAUUUCAAAUUUUGGUCGAAAACUUUUAAAAAAAAUCAUCUGGCAUCACUGGAGGUGAUGACAUUUACUUUUGUAAGUUUUUAAAAGGCACUGUUUAUAUUUUGUGCGCUCUAUUUCAUCUGUGUAUAAAAAGAUCAAUUUCAAAGCAAUUUUCGUGCUCAGGAAUAUUAUUGUGUACUUUAUACAGUAAAAUGGCUCCCUGGGUUGACUGCUACCGGCUGCGUGAGCUGUUCAAACUGAACUACCACAAAACGCAAUAAUCAUGGACUUGGCGUGGAACGUCAACACACUGAAAUAGUGAAUGACCGUCAGCAGUAACUACCACAUCGAGGUGAAUCCAUCGGAUGCCGGAAUAUAUGGUGGUGGUCGUGACGGAUUUGAUCAAAUAAAUUGCUCAGACGCAGCGGAUUGAUCACAGUGGACAGAGGAAAUUUAAGACGAUCGUCUUGUCAGAGGAUGAGCUUACAAAGAUGCCAAGCAUGCGCUGAGAAGAACCAUGGAAAAGUAUAUGUCUACGUGCAGAUUGAUUUUGUGCGUCAAUUGUACUUCGCGGGUUAUUCCCGCAGUUAGAAACCGUUACUUGGGAAUAAGAGUGCCGGCUCCAUCUGAGGAGGAUAUUUUUAAAAUUUUAAAUCACGUCGGAGAGAAAGAAAGUUUACACAUUCCUUCGGAGCUAGCGAAAAUAAUUACCGCCAAGUCCGAACGCAAUUUCCGACGAGCUUUCCUCAUGUUGAUAGCUUACUAGGUACAACAGUAUCCGUUCAAGAUGAACGAAGAGAUGUCGAAAACCGAUUGGCAAGAAAUCCUCCGAGAAACCACCAAUCAGAUUGUCCUCAAAGUUCACAAAAACUGGAAGCGGUGAGGGAACGGCUAUACGAGCUGCUAAACCAAGGCGUCUCAUCGAAUGUUAUAUUGAUGUUACAUCUCACGUUUAUAAACUACGCUUCAAUCGUUCUGUUGUUUGACUGCUACGAUGAAAGUUCGAUAUUCGAAAUUCACCGCCCUUUAGGAUUGGAGGCGAACGGACAGAAUGCAAAAUAUUCAAAAAAACGGACAGAAUGCAAAAUAUUCAAAAAAACGGACAGAAUGCAAAAUAUUCGGACUCGUUCGGAUUGUGAAAUCCAAUCAAUCCAAUUGGCGAUCUAACGUACAAAUCUACACCUAGGCGGCGCUGCGGUGAAAGUGAUGAUGGUUUUAAAUUUUGCCAUAUGAGCUUAUGGAAGUAGUGAAAACUAUAAAAAUGUUGACAAUGGUUAAAUUGAAGAAGGACAUUCGAGAGCACAAUCAAACACAAGUAGAAAAAUGCACGAUUCCUGCAUGUGAGAACUACCUUGGAAAGCCCGGAAGAAAAAAAGACGGGUGGGUAAUGUCGGGGACAUAACCGGAGUGACGUAGGACAAUACAAAGGGGACAGCUUUUGUUAAAUAUAUAUUUUAAAUAUAUUGUUUAAUUUCUUCUCCUACGUGAAUACCUACCUAUCUACCUGAAAAAUGGAUUAGUUUACUGUUUACUCUUUAUGAAUAUGUUGAUGGUUCUGAAAAGAACCUUUGGUGUUGUGUUUUUGUUAUCACUCGAUAUUCCCAUCUUGUUCGGUUAAGCCUUCCUGUUUAGCUAUUACGUUUGCCA